Molecule: ribosomal RNA, 253 nt
Filed under: uncultured bacterium
Lineage: Bacteria
Also listed under: 1 other name
Description: partial 16S ribosomal RNA
Rfam family: Bacterial small subunit ribosomal RNA
Source: RNAcentral
UACGUAGGCAGCAAGCGUUGUUCGGAAUUACUGGGCGUAAAGAGUGUGUAGGCGGUGCUCUAAGUUCGGUGUGAAAUCUCCCGGCUCAACUGGGAGGGUGCGCCGGAAACUGGGGUGCUGGAGCGCGGGAGAGGAAAGCGGAAUUCCUGGUGUAGCGGUGAAAUGCGUAGAUAUCAGGAGGAACACCGGCGGUGUAGACGGCUUUCUGGACCGUAGCUGACGCUGAGACACGAAAGCGUGGGUAGCAAACAGG